RNAcentral lists this ribosomal RNA (507 nucleotides) under uncultured Glomus. RNAcentral's name for it is "SSU rRNA". It matches the Rfam family "Eukaryotic small subunit ribosomal RNA", at positions 569 to 1078 of the family's 1831-position model. Lineage: Eukaryota; Fungi; Glomeromycota; Glomeromycetes; Glomerales; Glomeraceae. The record is from RNAcentral.
AGCAGCCGCGGUAAUUCCAGCUCCAAUAGCGUAUAUUAAAGUUGCUGCAGUUAAAAAGCUCGUAGUUGAAUUUCGGGACCAUCAUGUCGGUCGUGCCUCGGUACGUACUGGCAUUGUUGGUUUCUACCUUCUGACGAACCAUGAUGUCAUUUAUUUGGUGUCGUGGGAAAUCAGGACUGUUACUUUGAAAAAAUUAGAGUGUUUAAAGCAGGCUCACGCUUGAAUACAUUAGCAUGGAAUAAUGAAAUAGGACGUUUGAUUCUAUUUUGUUGGUUUCUAGGAUCGACGUAAUGAUUAAUAGGGAUAGUUGGGGGCAUUAGUAUUCAAUUGUCAGAGGUGAAAUUCUUGGAUUUAUUGAGGACUAACUACUGCGAAAGCAUUUGCCAAGGAUGUUUUCAUUAAUCAAGAACGAAAGUUAGGGGAUCAAAGACGAUCAGAUACCGUCGUAGUCUUAACCAUAAACUAUGCCGACUAGGGAUCGGAUGAUGUUAAUUUUUUAAUGACUCA